GAUGAAGAACGUAGCGAAAUGCGAUACUUGGUGUGAAUUGCAGAAUCCCGUGAACCAUCGAGUCUUUGAACGCAAGUUGCGCCCGAAGCCAUUAGGCCGAGGGCACGCCUGCCUGGGCGUCACACGUCGUUGCCCCCCCAUCUACUCCUUCGGGAUUGCGGGGGGCGGAUGAUGGCCUCCCGUGCGCCUCGCCGCGCGGUUGGCAUAAAUGCCAAGUCCUCGGCGACGCACGCCACGACAAUCGGUGGUUGCGAAACCUCGGUUGCCCGUCGUGUGCGGUCGUCGUGCAUCGAGGGCUCGAAAAAAUUGCCGGGUUCCGGCUCGGCUUUCAACGCGACCCCAGGUCAGGCGGGGUUACCCGCUGAAUUUAAGCAUAUCAAUAAGCGGAGGA
This 391-nucleotide unclassified non-coding RNA is filed under the name soil metagenome. RNAcentral describes it as "partial contains 5.8S ribosomal RNA, internal transcribed spacer 2, and large subunit ribosomal RNA". The stretch from base 1 to 122 matches the Rfam family "5.8S ribosomal RNA", at positions 35 to 154 of the family's 154-position model. The record is from RNAcentral.